AAAUCCGAUUUUCGUUUAAUUUUAGUUUGGUUUGAACCUGUCAAUUUUUUUUACAAUAUUUUUUCUAUUAGGUACCUACCAUAAGAAUUUAACAAAUUUUAACGUGAAAUGUUAGCAAAGUAAUAACUAAACGUGCUUUAAAAGUAUCUAAAUUCGUACCAAAUGAUAAUAGUGUCGUAAUUGGCUAAGCAUGGCACGAUGUCGCCGGAAAAGAAAACUAUGUAAGACCCGCUGUCGUACUAAGACUGGACGUUUCAAGAAAUGUCGCCGCUGUGACCGGAGGUACCCUGUGCGGCAGCCAUGCUGCAAGCCGCGGCGUUGCAAGCGUAGACGCAGGAGUUGUCGUCGGCGAUCCAGGUCUAGGUGUUGAGCAUCUUCUAGCUGCGAUGCAAAGAAAAGUCACCUCAUCGUUCGAAAUUUCACUGGUCCACCAGCACCCACCUACAUCGCCAAACGUGAUGUGUCCUCUUCUUUCCACCCUGCUGAAUGAAAGACCUGACAAUAUGCAUGUAUACCUACCGAUGUCGCUCCCGAUCCGGGUCCUUCAAGCGAUGCAGGCGCUGCGAUCGUCGCUACCCCAUCCGAAAACGUUAACAUUUCGUGUCUUAAAAACUAAAACUACAAAAAUUUUGGCAGAUCCAGUCUCUCUCGUUGGUGUUUUGAUAUCACACAGAAGUUUUUAUUUGAGAAAUUGUGAAUGUAAAUAUUUAUAUCUAUGGCGAAAUUCACGAAUAUAUUUUAUGUAA
Molecule: non-coding RNA, 746 nt
Organism: Spodoptera litura
Lineage: Eukaryota; Metazoa; Arthropoda; Insecta; Lepidoptera; Noctuidae
Source: RefSeq, a predicted model, not a curated record